This 454-nucleotide ribosomal RNA is filed under the name uncultured bacterium. Its description in RNAcentral is "bacterial SSU rRNA". It matches the Rfam family "Bacterial small subunit ribosomal RNA", at positions 335 to 797 of the family's 1533-position model. The record is from RNAcentral.
ACUCCUACGGGAGGCAGCAGUGGGGAAUAUUGCACAAUGGGGGAAAGCCCAUCGAUGCAGCGACGCAGCGUGCGGGAUGACGGCCUUCGGGUUGUAAACCGCUUUCAGCAGGGAAGAAGCGCAAGUGACGGUACCUGCAGAAGAAGUACCGGCUAACUACGUGCCAGCAGCCGCGGUAAUACGUAGGGUACGAGCGUUGUCCGGAAUUAUUGGGCGUAAAGAGCUCGUAGGUGGUUGGUCACGUCUGCUGUGGAAACGCAACGCUUAACGUUGCGCGUGCAGUGGGUACGGGCUGACUAGAGUGCAGUAGGGGAGUCUGGAAUUCCUGGUGUAGCGGUGAAAUGCGCAGAUAUCAGGAGGAACACCGGUGGCGAAGGCGGGACUCUGGGCUGUAACUGACACUGAGGAGCGAAAGCAUGGGGGAGCGAACAGGAUUAGAUACCCUGUAGGCUCU